This 1194-nucleotide long non-coding RNA is filed under the name Macaca fascicularis (crab-eating macaque). Its description in RNAcentral is "lncRNA (ENSMFAG00000051618.1)". Lineage: Eukaryota; Metazoa; Chordata; Mammalia; Primates; Cercopithecidae. The record is from RNAcentral.
UUUUUUUCUUUUCUUUUCUUUUUUUUUUAAAUUAACCAUGGGUGGUGGCACAUGCCUGCAGUCCCAACUAAUCAGGAGGCUAAAGCAGAAGGACCACUCGAGCCCAGGAAUUCCAGGUUACAGUGAGAUAUGAUCUUGCCACUGCACUCUAGCCUGGGUGAGACAGUGAGACUCCAUCCCUAAAGUAAGAAUUAUAAAAAUAAUAGCUUCAUAUGUCAACACAUUCACCAAUGCUGAGGCCGAUUUCCUCCAAAUCAUGUUAGUAUAUUAAACCGUUAUAAUACAUGGAUUUUGAGGAAAGUCCUUGAAUUAGUAAUGGUAGUUAGUGAAUCUUUUAUGUGGAUAUUUUCACAACCAUGAGGAGAGAACACCACGCUUUUGCUUCCCCACCACUGCUCCACUGGUAUAAGUCCAUCUCAUUAGGGACAUUACCUGCCCUGGCAUAGGACGGUGAGCAGCUUCCAGCCUCUGCCUCUGUUUUUUCCAAAUUCCUCAGCAAGGAUCAAUAUUCUAGGUGUGAAGAUCCCAGGACAAGCAGUAAAGAUGUGAAGAGGUUUCCAUUAAUGGGAUUCAAGGUUUAGGCCUCCAUUAGCACAACAACAUUCAAAGGACCACCACCCAAAUAGCCCAACAGUAAAUACAAACUGGAGCGUGGGCUGUUGAAUCAGAGCUCCAGGUUACAAGCUCAGUUUAAGGAGAUAGAAGGAGUUCAUCUUUAAAGAGGGAAAGAGACCAAUAGAGGCUCAGUCUCCUCAUCUGUAAACCAUGGAUAAAAAUACCACAGAAUCGUUAAGAUAGCAACUGAGAAAAUACGCAUAGAAACAACUGGCAUAGCACCUGGUACACACAUAAACAUGCAAUAAAUGUUUGCAAUUAUUACUAUUUGAUAGAAGAAUGAAAAAGUGUAAAAGAAAACAGAUAUCUCACAGGGGAAAAGAAAAUACUGAGAGAAGAGAUGAGAAAUUUUCAUAAGGCAAUAACGAGAAAUGUGAAUGACAUUCAAUGAAUGCCAAUUCUAAAAAAAAUUAAAUAAUCCCAAGAUCUAAAACAUCUUGGCAUAUGCUUUAUCCCAUUUAGUAUCCAUUCUGGGAUCUAAAUAAAUAUGAUAUAAUACAUUAAUAUAUUACUAUAUGUUAGUCACCAUAUAAUAAUGAUCAAAGUAUCAGAAAAGCACAGCCUAUGAGAAGUGCAAAU